Molecule: non-coding RNA, 26 nt
Filed under: Homo sapiens (human)
Lineage: Eukaryota; Metazoa; Chordata; Mammalia; Primates; Hominidae
Source: RNAcentral
UGGCUUCAUGGGAAACCUACAUCUAA